GAUGAAGAACGUAGCGAAAUGCGAUAAGUAAUGUGAAUUGCAGAAUUCAGUGAAUCAUCGAAUCUUUGAACGCACAUUGCGCCCGCCAGUAUUCUGGCGGGCAUGCCUGUUCGAGCGUCAUUUCAACCAUCAAGCCCCCGGCUUGUGUUGGGGACCUGCGGCUGCCGCAGGCCCUGAAAACCAGUGGCGGGCUCGCUGUCACACCGAGCGUAGUAGAUUUUCAUCUCGCUCAGGGCGUGCUGUGGGUUCCGGCCGUAAAAAGCCUUAUUUACCCAAGGUUGACCUCGGAUCAGGUAGGAAGACCCGCUGAACUUAAGCAUAUCAAUAAGCGGAGGA
RNAcentral lists this unclassified non-coding RNA (336 nucleotides) under soil metagenome. RNAcentral describes it as "partial contains 5.8S ribosomal RNA, internal transcribed spacer 2, and large subunit ribosomal RNA". The stretch from base 1 to 120 matches the Rfam family "5.8S ribosomal RNA", at positions 35 to 154 of the family's 154-position model. The record is from RNAcentral.